GCCUGGGUGGCUCAGUCGGUUAAGCGUCUGACUUUGACUCAGGUCAUGAUCUCAUGGUUUGUGAGUUCGAGCCCCACGUCGGGCU
Molecule: transfer RNA, 85 nt
Filed under: Felis catus (domestic cat)
Lineage: Eukaryota; Metazoa; Chordata; Mammalia; Carnivora; Felidae
Rfam family: tRNA
About the family: Transfer RNA (tRNA) molecules are approximately 80 nucleotides in length.
Source: Rfam by way of RNAcentral